UACGGGGGGGGCAAGCGUUGUUCGGAAUUACUGGGCGUAAAGGGCUCGUAGGCGGCCAACUAAGUCAGACGUGAAAUCCCUCGGCUUAACCGGGGAACUGCAUCUGAUACUGGAUGGCUUGAGUUCGGGAGAGGGAUGCGGAAUUCCAGGUGUAGCGGUGAAAUGCGUAGAUAUUGGGAGGAACACCAGUGGCGAAGGCGGCUCACUGGACCGGAACUGACGCUGAGGCGCGAAAGCGUGGGGAGCAAACGGG
RNAcentral lists this ribosomal RNA (253 nucleotides) under uncultured bacterium. RNAcentral's name for it is "partial 16S ribosomal RNA". It matches the Rfam family "Bacterial small subunit ribosomal RNA", at positions 524 to 776 of the family's 1533-position model. The record is from RNAcentral.